RNAcentral lists this ribosomal RNA (510 nucleotides) under Sporothrix epigloea. RNAcentral's name for it is "eukaryotic LSU rRNA". The stretch from base 165 to 318 matches the Rfam family "5.8S ribosomal RNA". Lineage: Eukaryota; Fungi; Ascomycota; Sordariomycetes; Ophiostomatales; Ophiostomataceae. The record is from RNAcentral.
UCAUUACAGAGUUUUCCAACUCCCACCCUUGCGAACCGUACAGUUGUUCUCGUUGCUUUUUGGCGGGGGAGGGGAAGCAUAGCGACCCUUUCCGCGCCGGGGGCGGCGGGCUCUCUGAACUAUUUACAAAAUCAUAUAUCUGAGCAUAUUUUACAAUAUAUUAAAACUUUCAACAACGGAUCUCUUGGCUCUGGCAUCGAUGAAGAACGCAGCGAAAUGCGAUACGUAAUGUGAAUUGCAGAAUUCAGCGAACCAUCGAAUCUUUGAACGCACAUUGCGCCCGCCAGCAUUCUGGCGGGCAUGCCUGUCCGAGCGUCAUUUCCCCCCUCACGCGCCCCGUUGCGCGCUGGUGUUGGGGCUUCCUCCGCCUGGCGGAGGGCCCCGAAAGCGAGUGGCGGGCCUGGCUGGAUGGCUCCGAGCGCAGUACCGAACUUUGGUUCUUUUUCUCGCUCGCGAACCCCGCCGGUGCCCAGUCAGAAUGGCGCAUGACGUGCAACUUUUUUCUAGGUU